GGGGUUGUGGCUCAAUGGGAGAGUUCUUUCCUAGCAUGUGUGAGGCGCUGGGUUCAAUUCUCAGCACCACA
RNAcentral lists this transfer RNA (71 nucleotides) under Marmota monax (woodchuck). RNAcentral describes it as "tRNA.Ala". The record is from RNAcentral. Lineage: Eukaryota; Metazoa; Chordata; Mammalia; Rodentia; Sciuridae.